Molecule: ribosomal RNA, 616 nt
Filed under: uncultured Legionella sp.
Lineage: Bacteria; Pseudomonadati; Pseudomonadota; Gammaproteobacteria; Legionellales; Legionellaceae
Description: bacterial SSU rRNA
Rfam family: Bacterial small subunit ribosomal RNA
Source: RNAcentral
UAGCUAGUUGGUAGGGUAAGGGCCUACCAAGGCGACGAUCGGUAGCUGGUCUGAGAGGAUGGCCAGCCACACUGGAACUGAGACACGGUCCAGACUCCUACGGGAGGCAGCAGUGGGGAAUAUUGGGCAAUGGGGGGAACCCUGAUCCAGCAAUGCCGCGUGUGUGAAGAAGGCCUGAGGGUUGUAAAGCACUUUCAGUAGGGAGGAGGAUUUGGAGGUUAAGAGCUAUCAAAUUGGACGUUACCUACAGAAGAAGCACCGGCUAACUCCGUGCCAGCAGCCGCGGUAAUACGGAGGGUGCGAGCGUUAAUCGGAAUUACUGGGCGUAAAGGGUGCGUAGGUGGUUGGCUAAGUUAUCUGUAAAAUCCCUGGGCUUAACCUGGGCAGGUCAGAUGAUACUGGUUGACUCGAGUAUGGGAGAGGGUAGUGGAAUUUCCGGUGUAGCGGUGAAAUGCGUAGAGAUCGGAAGGAACACCAGUGGCGAAGGCGGCUACCUGGCCUAAUACUGACACUGAGGCACGAAAGCGUGGGGAGCAAACAGGAUUAGAUACCCUGGUAGUCCACGCUGUAAACGAUGUCAACUAGCUGUUGGUUAUAUAAAAAUAAUUAGUGGCGC